Molecule: long non-coding RNA, 3151 nt
Organism: Wyeomyia smithii (pitcher-plant mosquito)
Lineage: Eukaryota; Metazoa; Arthropoda; Insecta; Diptera; Culicidae
Exons: 3
Source: RefSeq, a predicted model, not a curated record
GUCUUACUUCAAUUCUAACAACUGCAAAUAGUGGAAAUGGCGCAUAAGCUAAGAAGUGUAAGUAUUGUUAAAUUUGUGGGACCAGAAUGUGAAUUCAUAACUGGAGCACGCCUCCCAACGAUACGCCAAGUAUUGGCUGCGUUUUAUUAUCUGCUUCGAUCAGCAAAGCUUUCUAUUAGAACUAGUGCAAGGAAUAUCGUUGAACAAGUGUUGUGCUACUAGCGGAAAACAAAAAUACCCAUAAUCCAGGAAAUACAUUGCAUUACGAAAGUCGAAUUACUCCAUGCUGAACUAUCUGCAAUUUGUAAACAUUUAUCACGGAAAAAUAGCAAAGCGCAAAUGAAAAAGAAAGCUCUCUUCUGUAAUAAGCUUGAUAACCUUUUCGAUGUGUCUAAAAGUAUGGCGAAGGAAAGGGAUCCGAUAGUGAUGAAAGCUCUUUUGGAAGAAAUACAAUUUUUCAAGGACUAAAAAGGAACCCGAGUAAGCACCUUCGCAGGUAUCGAUGGAGUUCUGUCUGGCAGAAUCCAGAAAAAACUGAAAGCAGACCGGCGUAAGAAAGAGAAGCAAAAGCUAUUGGAGGAUCGCCGGAAAAAGAGUGAAUUUCAGUCGAAAAUCGUCAACGCCGUAAAAUUCGGCUUACCCGGUGAAGAUUUUGAGGAUACAGAUAAAGACGAGGAAUAUCAACCAUCGCAGCGCAUCUCACAGAGAAUCAGAGGAACACGAAACGUUAUGACAACUGAAUUGCUACAAGCUCUUGAUGCUGCAAAGGUCAGUGCGGAUUCUGCCACAGUAAUUUUGGCAGCAGCGAGCAAAUAAUUUGGAAUCGACUAUUCAUCGUGAGCGUGACAAACACCGAUCCGACUUAGCUCAACAUUUGAUUAACUAUUUCGAUCCAGACGAUAAUCUAACGGUUCACUGGGAUGGUGAAGUGGUAAAUUCGUUGACAGGACGAGGUCUAGUUGACCGACAAGCUGUACUUGAGACGGGCAGAAACACUACCUAGCUACUUGGCGUUCCUUUUCUUGAAAAAGGCACAAGCAAAGCCAAUGCCGAAUCUGUCGUUGAACUGUCAAAAAACUGGAACAUUUCUGAUCGUAUCAAAGCAAUGUCCUUUGAUACCACCAGUGUGAAUACAGGAAGGAAAAAUGGGGCUGCUUCUGCACCACGCAGUGACCUCAAGUUCGUGGCUGAUCUGAAAAAAUUUGAAUCUUUCCAUCCGGAAGCAUCUGCUGCUGCUCAGCGAAAAUUCCUGGGCCAUUUGUGGUAUUUGAGCGAGGAACUACUUGGCUUGGCUGUAUUUGAUACAGGUCUAUCGUUUGAGGUGCGAGAGAGUGUUGUCAAGGUUUUUUUUCUAUUACCAUUAGACAAGGUGAUGAUAAUCCAGCUAAAAAACGAAGCCUCACUGAAUUGAAUGCACCGCUGCAAGAAUUGGUUACGACCAAUACUAUGAAAUUUUUCAAAGUAUUAGGAAUUGAAACGAAUUUCUUCGAACUACCGGCAAAGAACUGGGAUUCCAAUUUUGCGUAUCAAAGGGGAGUAGAAAUUGUCAAUAGUCUCACAGUAGUAAACGAUCAUGCUGAAAGAGCUAUUAAGUUGAUGCACUGCCGCUACCCGCAUAACUAUCCCAUACUGAUUUUGGUCACUUUUGAGUUAUCAUCGGGAAUCGACUUAAUUGUUAUCAUAUUUUCUGGAAAAAAUAAAGAUUGAUACUUUUGUAUGGAAAAGCAAAAGACAACCCUGCAGAACUUUGUUGGAUCAUAAAACAAAAUGACUAUAUUGGUUUUUAUUCAAAAACAGUUUUUUUUUCGGUAAACCGACACAUGUGAUAACCGAUCUACUUGCUUCCUGGUAUCUGUAUAGCGCUUAUAGUAGCGUGCUCGCCACCGCGUGAGGGUCGCUCAUACUAUCAUAUCUUUAGGUCCGUUGGGGAACCACUUAGCGUAAUCGUAGGGACCUCAACAAGAUAUCAUUUUCUUCAGCUUGUCGAGACGAACAUUUUGAGAGGUUGAAUUCAUGAUUGCGCCCAUUUUUCUAAAAUAAGGGAUGGCCUACUGUAGAGUUAGCUUACCAAAUCUAGACAAAAUUUCACCGCACCUUCGUGAGCCCUAGUAAAUGGAGAUAGACUUUUCUGCAGGCUCUUUUCUCUAUAGGUACAUUCAUGAAUUCAUUGUCGUGUUGCUAACGAGAAGCUUGGUUUUGUCAAAUUUAAUUAGCUCAAAUUUGCUGGGGACAUCUCCUCUGUUAGUUACCUUGCAGAAUUUCAAGCUUUCGUACAUCCUUCGUACUUUUUCAAAAUCUUGCAUGAGUGGUAUAUUUCGAGGAUUGGCCUUAUUGCUCUUAAUACCUUCAACCUCAGCUUCCGAUUGUAAGUUCCACUACGACGCGUCCUCUGAUACAUUCGAACAACAUUUCAGCCAUCAUACAGUUCAGUCUUAAAUCCAAAUAUCGGAUCAAAGAGAAAUUUUUAACGCCAAAAGAUACAAGUUUUCUAAAUAAUCCGCUCUCAAAAGAUUUGUGAUACGCCCACCCUACCUGAAUUCGAUCAACACUCGAGAACAUUUCUCACAUAAAAAAAGAAACAUAAAUGCGUACUCGUUAUAUUUGUAUUUCUCCGUGACUUCCAGUUUUUAGUUUUACAUUUACAGCUAAUAUAGAUUUUGAAUUAUUCACAUUGAUUGCAGAGACAAAAAUAGUUCUUUCUGAAAUUUUCCUUACUUUUUUUUUGGUUUGUUUUCGUUACAAAUAUUUUCAUGGGCGUGUAUGUGUGUGUGAAAUAUCUAUACAAGUACUGGUACAGACACUGUUGUUGGUUGUUGGUGGGCAAAUCAGCUCUCGUACCACUCUCGUCGUGUAUUGCAACCGUAUCGCAACGAAUCCGGGUUCGGCCUGUGAACCGCGAAGUUCGUCGAUUGGGACUAGAAUAGAUCUAAUCGUCAUUUGCACGCGUUUGGCUAGCGUUCGAUUGAAUUUAAUAAAUAGGGUUUAGAAUAAAUAAAUUGAUAAAUAAAUUCUAAUCUGGUGUAGUAUGCUGUCCGAAAUAAAUUACUAAACAUAUAAAUAAAACCAACGAAUGCAGAAAAAAUAAAUAAAUAAUUAGGUGAGACACAGUUAAAAGUACAAUCCAUUAAUCACAGAUGCUUCUUAUUGGAGU